This 744-nucleotide unclassified non-coding RNA is filed under the name Borreliella burgdorferi (Lyme disease spirochete). RNAcentral describes it as "partial contains 16S ribosomal RNA and 16S-23S ribosomal RNA intergenic spacer". The stretch from base 126 to 199 matches the Rfam family "tRNA". Lineage: Bacteria; Pseudomonadati; Spirochaetota; Spirochaetia; Spirochaetales; Borreliaceae. The record is from RNAcentral.
UCUUUUCUUUUGAUAAGAGAGUUUUUAAAACCAGUGUUAUUUAUGUAAGUUUAAGAGAAGUUUAUGUAUUAAAUUAUUGAUAUUAAAUAGGUUUAUUAGGCUCAGACUUAAUUUUAGGUCAUUUUGGGGGUUUAGCUCAGUUGGCUAGAGCAUCGGCUUUGCAAGCCGAGGGUCAAGGGUUCGAGUCCCUUAACCUCCAUUGGGCUUAUGCCCUAAAUUGUAAUUAAGUAUGUUUUUAAGUAACUUUGUUAAAGUAAUUGUUGGAAUGUGAAACGCAAGAAGUUAAAAUUUCUGGGUUAAGUUGAGAUCUGUUGAUAUUAAGAAGAAUCUCUAGAAGCAAAAGCAAGCUUUCGAUAAAACCCGAAGUUGUUUCGCUAAAGUGCAAGGAUUAAACAGGAUUGUAUUUUCCAGCAGCCUAUUUUAUAAACGAUCUGCAUUUAGUAAAUAGUUUUUAGUUAAGGAAUAAUGUAGAUUGCUAAGUGUGAUGUCUGAAAGAAGGACAAGUAUUUUAGCGAGCCUAAAUCCUUGUUAUCGUUGCCAGUAUUUAGUGGUAGGGAUUCGGAUAAGACUGCCAUUUAUAAUUUGGAGGAAGGCAAAGAUUGCAUUAAAUCGUUAUCGUUCUUAUGUUUUAGGUUACAAGUUUGCCACAAUAACCCAAAAAAGCUAAGCAAAAUGCUAUAAAGCAGAUUUCAGUUUGGAUUUGCCCGACACUCAAUGGCAUGAAGUUGUAAUUGUUAGUAAUCG